RNAcentral lists this ribosomal RNA (1006 nucleotides) under Neisseria meningitidis NM2781. RNAcentral's name for it is "bacterial SSU rRNA". It matches the Rfam family "Bacterial small subunit ribosomal RNA", at positions 521 to 1528 of the family's 1533-position model. The record is from RNAcentral. Lineage: Bacteria; Pseudomonadati; Pseudomonadota; Betaproteobacteria; Neisseriales; Neisseriaceae.
UAAUACGUAGGGUGCGAGCGUUAAUCGGAAUUACUGGGCGUAAAGCGGGCGCAGACGGUUACUUAAGCAGGAUGUGAAAUCCCCGGGCUCAACCCGGGAACUGCGUUCUGAACUGGGUGACUCGAGUGUGUCAGAGGGAGGUAGAAUUCCACGUGUAGCAGUGAAAUGCGUAGAGAUGUGGAGGAAUACCGAUGGCGAAGGCAGCCUCCUGGGAUAACACUGACGUUCAUGCCCGAAAGCGUGGGUAGCAAACAGGAUUAGAUACCCUGGUAGUCCACGCCCUAAACGAUGUCAAUUAGCUGUUGGGCAACUUGAUUGCUUAGUAGCGUAGCUAACGCGUGAAAUUGACCGCCUGGGGAGUACGGUCGCAAGAUUAAAACUCAAAGGAAUUGACGGGGACCCGCACAAGCGGUGGAUGAUGUGGAUUAAUUCGAUGCAACGCGAAGAACCUUACCUGGUCUUGACAUGUACGGAAUCCUCCAGAGACGGAGGAGUGCCUUCGGGAGCCGUAACACAGGUGCUGCAUGGCUGUCGUCAGCUCGUGUCGUGAGAUGUUGGGUUAAGUCCCGCAACGAGCGCAACCCUUGUCAUUAGUUGCCAUCAUUCAGUUGGGCACUCUAAUGAGACUGCCGGUGACAAGCCGGAGGAAGGUGGGGAUGACGUCAAGUCCUCAUGGCCCUUAUGACCAGGGCUUCACACGUCAUACAAUGGUCGGUACAGAGGGUAGCCAAGCCGCGAGGCGGAGCCAAUCUCACAAAACCGAUCGUAGUCCGGAUUGCACUCUGCAACUCGAGUGCAUGAAGUCGGAAUCGCUAGUAAUCGCAGGUCAGCAUACUGCGGUGAAUACGUUCCCGGGUCUUGUACACACCGCCCGUCACACCAUGGGAGUGGGGGAUACCAGAAGUAGGUAGGGUAACCGCAAGGAGUCCGCUUACCACGGUAUGCUUCAUGACUGGGGUGAAGUCGUAACAAGGUAGCCGUAGGGGAACCUGCGGCUGGAUCACCU